RNAcentral lists this small RNA (1225 nucleotides) under Histoplasma capsulatum. RNAcentral describes it as "hypothetical RNA". Lineage: Eukaryota; Fungi; Ascomycota; Eurotiomycetes; Onygenales; Ajellomycetaceae. RNAcentral also lists the same sequence under 1 other name. The record is from RNAcentral.
CCUGCUAAAUUAGUACCUUCGAGUACGCAUUAUGCUCGUGAAGGCUGUAGCUGUUGCGAUUGCAUCGACAUGCCGACGACGAAGGAGCCUACUGAUCUAGUCAAAAAAUAGAUCAUGGAACUAGCCGAUAAUACAGUCUGGUUGGAAUCUCUUGGAUACGCUUAUAUUGAUAUCCGACCUCCGAAUCGGGUGUAAGCUGCUCUCAGAGGAAAACAAAGGGAGCGCCGAGGCGGUAAACAGCACAUUCAACAGUAUGUAGGAAAUGGCGAAAUGCAUGUCAACGGAUCCUUCAGCCUGGGGGCGGGAAUUCAAGAAUUCCCAUAUACAGAGGAGCAUUCCUCAUAGAUACUAGAAGUGUGGGAUUGGAUUCCAAUGUUUGUGACAGAAUAACAACACAACUUCAAAAAAGCAUUUUCUGUCUGUUUCCAAAUGAGAAAGGACGGAUCACUCAUUAAUUUAAAUAAAUGAAAAUAAAGGAAGACAACAAGGGCAGAUCAGGUAUUGAGCUGCAGAUAUGGACUGCGCAGACGUCAUUGUUGCAAUUGAUGCAAAGACUCUCAAUUUUGAGUUCUAAUUCACGAUAGCGCCCGUGGCGCAUUUUUCUAGAAGAAUAGGGAGGGAGAGAUAGGAAUGGGCUUCUUUGUCAUGAAUCUUCAAACCAAUCCCUUCUGGCUAAAACUUGGGAACAAUCUCGCUGCAAGGAUUUGAUAGACCAAAUUACCUACCUCCGUCUUAAGCGAAUCCCAUCAGAAAGGAAUUAUUCACAGCGAUAUGCGGUUUUAGCCCGCCUACAUUCGCACGGAUGGUCAAUUAGGCUAUGUGAUUUCAGCGACGCUGUGAAGGUAGGUGAGGCCCAAGCAGCUGGUGAAAACGGACAAUUGCAAAUUACAUAUCAACCACAUCGAAGGCAGAAUUGGUCUGAGUUUGCGGAAUGACGCUUCUCUACGCCCUUCGACGGUCGAAGUGAGGAUGGUAUUAUGCCGACUCUUCAGCGACGAGAAUCGGUUUGAUGUGGAUCAGGUAAGAGGUGCAUACUUCAUUAUCUAAGGUAUGGCGGUGCAAAGAUAUAAUUUACCUUUAUGCUGUGAUCUGUUGAUAUACAUACAUAUAUUCAAGUUGGUUCCCUUCAAUGUGACAGGAACAAUGGCCGCAUGGGAUUGUUUGUCAACACCCUUUCAUAAACGGUGCCAAAAAAAAAUAAAUAAAUAAAAUAAAAUAAACCUCC